Long non-coding RNA from Antechinus flavipes (yellow-footed antechinus), 908 nucleotides. RefSeq lists it as uncharacterized. The record is from RefSeq and is a predicted model, not a curated record. NCBI's taxonomy places the organism in Eukaryota, Metazoa, Chordata, Mammalia, Dasyuromorphia, Dasyuridae. The transcript has 2 exons.
ACGCGCGCCGCCGCCGCCCCCGCCCCCCCGUCACUAUGCCCGGGAGCACGCGCAGCACAGUCACAUCCACUCCUCACUCCACUAUACUCGGGAGCGCGCGCAGAGGCUCCCCCUACAACCACGCUAAGCUCGGGAGCGCGCGCAGUGCUACCACGGCCACCGCGGAGAAAUCCGGCCUGACCUAGAAGCCGGCUCUCUGAGCAUGCGUAAAAAAAGCGUCUCGAGGCACGGCUCCGAUUUAAAGCUUUAGCUUGUCCGGAUCUUCUUAGCGGUCCGGAAGGUGGGAGGAAGCGGGGUGGAGACGGUAGAGAGAGGUGAGAAGGGGACUGAACCUGAAACGAGGCGGAGUUACUGCUGAGACUUGGGAAAGAGCGGGGAGGAGAAAGUCGUGGCUCUGACUUUCAAGUUUGUCAGCCAAAAUGCUUGCUUGAGUUGGAGAAACCCGAUGCACAGCUUAGCCGCAGUAAAGGAAAAUGUUCUUGGACUAAAACGGGUGAGACAUGUGACACAAGGUCCGUGUCUGAUAGUUCUUCCAGCUCUUACCUUCCGCCAGUAAGAAUCAACAUGAAUUGGAGAAUUGGAAAAGUGAGGAAAAAUCAAGAGUGGAGAAUGAUCCCAAGGUUGAAAAGUAGAGUGAUUGGAAUUGCAAUGCCCUCAACAGAAAUAAAGAAAUUAGCAAGGAUGUCUUUAGGAGAAAAGAAAAUGGGUUCCUUUUUGGCCAUGUUGUCCAUGGAGAAUUCAAGAAGAGAAGUCCAGGAAAAACCAGAAAAGAGGAUUUUCAAAAUUAAAAAACACAAUAAACAAUAUGGAAUACAGGGUAAUCAAGAAAAGGAAGUAAUCAGGAAUUUCAGUAACUGCAGAGGAAACAAGAAGCAUGAAAGUAAAAAAAAAAAAAAAAAAAAAAAAAA